GUUAAUAUGUUAUUUGAAAAAGCUCCAUAAGUCAGUAGCUCUUUGGAAAACAGACAUACAAGUUUCAGGUUUAGACGUUAAAGAGUCAAAACUAUGUGGGAAAAUACAGAAGUGGUGACAAAACGAGUACUGAGUCUUUGUUGCACUAGGAAAUGACUUGUUUAACUAGAUAGCUUUGCUACUCCCUCCCCAAUGUGUGUUAAUUAUUCAUGGAUUAAGUCUCCCAGGUGUGCCCCUGUAUUCUAUAGCUACAUCCAUCCAAUAAGGCUUUACCACCUUCUCACUCAUGUUUCUUUGUUUUUUCUGGCAUGUCUUGGUAGAAUGCUUAACUAAAAUUUUUACAGAUAAAUUAGGAUGUUUCUUUUCUUAAAAGCUUCCAACAGCUUCCCAUUGAAUUUAGGACAAAACACAAACAUCCUGAGGCUGCACACAACCCAUAUGGUCCUGCCUGCCCCUCCGAACUUUUCUGUUGUCCCUCCCCCAUCUCCUCGCUGUGCUCCAGUGGGCUUCCUCUGUUCCUCACAUGCACGAUGUUCACUCCCACCUCAUGUAUUUUGUAUUUGCCAUUCUCUAGGCUUGGAAUACUCUUCUUCACAGCUACCUCCCACCUAUAAUUUGGACAUCAAUUCAAAUGAUACCUCCUAAGAGAGAUCACUUCCUCAUCACCCCAUCUGAUACUUGUCCCCUCCCUAACUCUUAAACAUCUCUAUAUUGUUAGUCACUUGUUGUUUUCGUCAAGGCACUUGACAUUAUCUGAAAGCAUUGGCUUUUCUCCUUGUUUAUUAUCUGAUGAGAGUAGAGACAUUGCCUUGUUCGCUGCUGUAUCAUUAGCACCCAGAACAGUGCACAUAGGAGGUAUUCAAUAAACAUUUGUUGACAGAGAAAUGAAUGAAGAAGGUAUAAAUAUUCCAAGUGAGCAUUUGAAGAGACCAUUUUACAGGGGUCAGAGAUAGAGUCACUCGCCAGGUGGAAAGAAUAAUUCUUUCCUGUUCUGUCACCUUGCUGUAAUAAAUGCACUUUGGUGAUAUUGACCUUUUUAUGCAAACCUCAUUCUUUAUUCUGCACGCUGUCACACUCCAGAGAGGAGAAAUAAUCCAACCUGUAACUUUAUUAAUGAAUCAACCUUAUUUGGAAACCAGCCAUAGCCUUACCUAUACUUGAAGCACCACUGCAUUACUUAUAUAAUAGUGCUUUCUGCUAGAAAAUCAAUAUUCCUGGACUAUUAUUACAAAGACCUUUGUUUCCUCUUAUAUAAUUAUAAUUCCACGUAAUCAGAUUGCUAUUAUUAGAAUGGCACUACUUAUGAGAUUUCACCUUAAAAGUUCAAAAUAACUUCCUUUUAUUCAGUGGUGGUUUAAAUGGUGUUCAGGCAAUAUAUCAUUAUUUUUCACAGUAAAUUGCAUGAGAUCUUACACAGUAGCUUUGAAAUUACUGCUUGUUGUCACCACUAUAUACAACCACAUAAACAGUAUGUGGUUUGUACAGUAGAUCAUUUUUCUUGUUUAUAUUCAGCAGACCCUCAUGCUACACAUUAACACGAGCUGUUAAAAAAUGACAGUAGUAUUUUAUCUCUUGCUACCAAGAUCUUUUGUGUAGAGAAGUUGUUUUUCCUAAGCAGUAUAUGUUGCUGAAUAAUAAUAAAGGUUGAUAUGAUAAACAGUGGUAUAUUUUUCAGGAUUCAUUUGCAAUGUAAAAUGGAAUGUAAAUAGAAAAAUUACAGAAAGGGUCAAGUAUAAGGAAAGUUAGAUUCCAUACCUAAAUCCAAGUCAAUUUUAUUAUCCACCAAGAUCUUAUCUCAUAGGUUGUGCAUGGUGAAUCCUGUAGAAAUAUAUGUGUAUGUUUUACAUAAAAGAAUCUAAAACAAGUUUCAAUAUCCCAAAACGUUUGACGGCUGUUUUCAAUAUUUUCCCCUCAUUUUCUGCUGUUCUUUCUUUUUCGUUUUUUUCUCUUUCCAUGAGAAAACAAACACCUCAGGGACGUGUACCAUUUUUUCCACAUCAACUAUGUACUAGGUUCAGAAAAGAUACAUGUCAGCUGACUAAAAAUGAAAUAACUUUCAUGAAACAAUUGUUUCUUUUCAGAAAGCACAAAUAUACUUGCUUAUACUAAUGAUAAAUACAGAGUUGGGAAGUUUCUUUGAGUCUUUGUAUCUCCUCUGUGCUUAGGUUCCAACAUCACAGUAUUUAAAGUAAGAGACAUGAAAUCAAUUGACACAAAGCCGGGCCACAAGCAAGCCUCAAGAUCAAUGUCAUUAAACAUGUUUCAGGU
Molecule: long non-coding RNA, 2268 nt
Organism: Phocoena sinus (vaquita)
Lineage: Eukaryota; Metazoa; Chordata; Mammalia; Artiodactyla; Phocoenidae
Source: Ensembl